RNAcentral lists this ribosomal RNA (196 nucleotides) under uncultured Bacillus sp. RNAcentral's name for it is "partial 16S ribosomal RNA". It matches the Rfam family "Bacterial small subunit ribosomal RNA", at positions 338 to 525 of the family's 1533-position model. RNAcentral also lists the same sequence under 1 other name. The record is from RNAcentral. Lineage: Bacteria; Bacillati; Bacillota; Bacilli; Caryophanales; Bacillaceae.
CCUACGGGAGGCAGCAGUAGGGAAUCUUCCGCAAUGGACGAAAGUCUGACGGAGCGACGCCGCGUGAGUGAUGAAGGCUUUCGGGUCGUAAAACUCUGUUGUUAGGGAAGAACAAGUGCUAGUUGAAUAAGCUGGCACCUUGACGGUACCUAACCAGAAAGCCACGGCUAACUACGUGCCAGCAGCCGCGGUAAUA